Molecule: ribosomal RNA, 467 nt
Filed under: uncultured bacterium
Lineage: Bacteria
Description: partial 16S ribosomal RNA
Rfam family: Bacterial small subunit ribosomal RNA
Source: RNAcentral
GACGAACGCUGGCGGCGUGCUUAACACAUGCAAGUCGAACGGAAAGGCCCUGCUUUUGUGGGGUGCUCGAGUGGCGAACGGGUGAGUAACACGUGAGUAACCUGCCCUUGACUUUGGGAUAACUUCAGGAAACUGGGGCUAAUACCGGAUAGGAGCUCCUGCUGCAUGGUGGGGGUUGGAAAGUUUCGGCGGUUGGGGAUGGACUCGCGGCUUAUCAGCUUGUUGGUGGGGUAGUGGCUUACCAAGGCUUUGACGGGUAGCCGGCCUGAGAGGGUGACCGGCCACAUUGGGACUGAGAUACGGCCCAGACUCCUACGGGAGGCAGCAGUGGGGAAUAUUGCACAAUGGGCGGAAGCCUGAUGCAGCAACGCCGCGUGCGGGAUGACGGCCUUCGGGUUGUAAACCGCUUUCGCCUGUGACGAAGCGUGAGGGACGGUAUGGGUAAAGAAGCACCGGCUAACUACGUG